GAUGUCUGAGGAAUAGUCUUAGUGGAUUAUCCCAAACUUGACACAUUUUUUGCAAAAUGCUAUACAAAAAGAAGAUACAUGCGAUUAUGACAAGAUUCUCCACUUGGUGUGACCAGUCUCAUACAACCCAAGGCUGUGUGUCCAAAGGCAACUGUACUUCUGGGACUGGAAACAAAUUGGGAACAUUUUUCAUUGCAUAUUUGGCUCAGAUCUGCCACUUAGUUGAAGUAUAAUCUUCAGCAAGUGACUCAAAAUUUCUGAAUCUCGUUUUCACCAUCAAUACAUGACAAUAGUAAUAUUUUCUCCUUUAAGUAUUUGAAAGUGUUGAGAAAGCCACAAUAGCAACACUUGCAAAAGUGCUCCAUUGUAAAAUGCAAAGGAGAGGUAGUUGUGACCCUUUGGGGAAAACUAUAGUUGCCACAAUUGUCUCUGAAAUGAAGCAUGUUUCUUAGACUGAAGGAAAGCCCUGGGAGAGAUUGGUCUAGCUUUAGGAUGACUGUGGGUAGAGCUUCUAGGGAGAAGAAUGAAACGUAUUCCUCUUUUCCUUUUCUCUAGGAAUACCGGAAAGCAUGUAUUUGUUUGCUAAAUUGCUCUCUUUCCACCAGUGAUAUCAAUUCUGAAAUACUUUUGAGAUCUUGACAAUAAUCAAAAGGUAGCCAGGUGCAUCGG
This 669-nucleotide long non-coding RNA is filed under the name Homo sapiens (human). Its description in RNAcentral is "ZRANB2 divergent transcript". The record is from RNAcentral. Lineage: Eukaryota; Metazoa; Chordata; Mammalia; Primates; Hominidae.